GAUUGCUUUCUCUCUCUAUCUCUUUAAUACUCGCUCUUUAAAAUUGUACUGAGGAGAAGGAAUCAGCGAAAAUAGUAUUUACUUGUUCAAACACUGAAAAUGCAGAAAAUACUAAGUACCAUGCAGUCGGAGUGUAUGCCUAAUCGUUCUAAUACGAACCCUGGGGCUGCAGUAAACAGUGUUCAUGAGUAUUUAUUCGUGUGGCGUGACUAGGCCUUAUUAUAUGAGUCAGCAAAAAUCAUACAUUCAUAUGAACAAAAAACCGAUAUAUUAAAAACCACGUCACUCUACAGCAGUUCCAGAAAAUACAUUUGUUUGAACUAAAUAUAACUGAAUGUCCUCUUGUGUAUUCUUUAUAAUAUAGAGGCGGGACGUUAAAGUUUGUUAAUCAUCGGCUAUUGGAUGUCAAACAUUUGGUAAUUUUGACAUAAAGUGUUUAGAGUGGAAACCUGUUAAAUGUUUCCAUUAGUAGCAAGGAAUGUUUUAUAUGCACCAUCCCACACAUAGAAUAAAUAUUAGUGUUUAAA
Long non-coding RNA from Gigantopelta aegis, 527 nucleotides. RefSeq lists it as uncharacterized. The transcript is spliced from 3 exons. Lineage: Eukaryota; Metazoa; Mollusca; Gastropoda; Neomphalida; Peltospiridae. The record is from RefSeq and is a predicted model, not a curated record.